GCGUGUUUUGGUUAAAUUCAAAGCCAAGCAGCUGCAGAAUAAAGUCAGGAAGUCACCCUUCUGUUGCUUGAAAUGAAACAAGAAGAAAGUCCAGCCAAGAGCAACUCCUCCAACAAAAACAGUGUGAGCCACCGGCGGGAUCAGCGAGAAGUUCACAGCCUGAGACAUGACUCUUGGAAACAUCCUGUCCCAUCCCCGUAGCCAGUGGCAAUUGAAGUUGGCAUGGAAACAGAACCCAAGCAGCGCCGCCCGAGUCUGGGCCCAGUCAAUGCUGUCAAGCUGUGGAGCAUGUUGUAUUGGAUCUAAUGCCACAGUAAAUCCCUCAACCGAUGUGAUGGAGGUAUCUUGUCAUGUGCCCUGUCCCUUUGUCCUGAGCUUUUCCCAUCAUGCUUUGCUGAAUGAGGUCUGCUGUGGCAAAAAGUGUUGUGUAAAACACUAAAAUUACAAAAAUUAAAAUUGAAAAUAUAAAAAUAUAAACUAAUUUAAAAUGUGAAUAAAUAAGAUAGUAUAUAAAUUAUACUAAAAUAA
Long non-coding RNA from Cyprinus carpio (common carp), 528 nucleotides. The record is from Ensembl. Lineage: Eukaryota; Metazoa; Chordata; Actinopteri; Cypriniformes; Cyprinidae.